UACUGAAGUGAACCAAAAUAACAACUCUAUACUUGAAGAAAAUGCACAAUUUGAAGGAGAACAACACAUACAAGAAGAUAGUCAUGUUCAGUCUCAUACUUCUCUUGAAAGUGCAAGUGAAAGUUCAACUAAAGGUA
This is a long non-coding RNA of Glycine soja, 137 nucleotides long. RefSeq lists it as uncharacterized. NCBI's taxonomy places the organism in Eukaryota, Viridiplantae, Streptophyta, Magnoliopsida, Fabales, Fabaceae. The transcript has 2 exons. The record is from RefSeq and is a predicted model, not a curated record.